This 478-nucleotide ribosomal RNA is filed under the name uncultured bacterium. RNAcentral describes it as "partial 16S ribosomal RNA". It matches the Rfam family "Bacterial small subunit ribosomal RNA", at positions 28 to 523 of the family's 1533-position model. The record is from RNAcentral.
GACGAACGCUGGCGGCGUGCUUAACACAUGCAAGUCGAACGGUAAGGCCCUUCGGGAUACACGAGUGGCGAACGGGUGAGUAACACGUGGGUGAUCUGCCCUGCACUUCGGGAUCAGCCUGGGAAACUGGGUCUAAUACCGGAUAGGACCACUGCCUGCAUGGGUGGUGGUGGGAAGCUUUUGCGGUGUGGGAUGGGCCCGCGGCCUAUCAGCUUGUUGGUGGGGUGAUGGCCUACCAAGGCGACGACGGGUAGCCGGCCUGAGAGGGUGACCGGCCACACUGGGACGGAGAUACGGCCCAGACUCCUACGGGAGGCAGCAGUGGGGAGUAUUGCACAAUGGGCGCAAGCCUGAUGCAGCGACGCCGCGUGAGGGAUGACGGCCUUCGGGUUGUAAACCUCUUUCAGCACCGACGAAGCGCAAGUGACGGUAGGUGCAGAAGGAGGACCGGCCAACUACGUGCCAGCCGCCGCAGUAA